UUUUCAUUCCACGUGCUCUCUCACCGGUCAAAAUGAAGAGAGAAAGCAUGUGAAAUGAAAAGA
Molecule: microRNA precursor, 63 nt
Filed under: Pristionchus pacificus
Lineage: Eukaryota; Metazoa; Nematoda; Chromadorea; Rhabditida; Neodiplogasteridae
Description: mir-8364 microRNA precursor family
Rfam family: mir-8364 microRNA precursor family
Source: Rfam by way of RNAcentral